Molecule: long non-coding RNA, 1946 nt
Organism: Panthera uncia (snow leopard)
Lineage: Eukaryota; Metazoa; Chordata; Mammalia; Carnivora; Felidae
Exons: 2
Source: RefSeq, a predicted model, not a curated record
GCGGGGGGGCGGGGGGGCACGACAGCGCGUGGGGGUGUGGCUUGACCGCUGCAGUUUGCUGCUUCGUGACUGGCUAGCGCGCUAUAGCUCCUUCAGGAAUAAAGCUACGCGUCAGGCUACCGGCUCUGACGUGAGGCGCGCAGUGAUGACGUGACGGGAGCCAUUUUGGAAGUUCGUUAUCUUUCGUUUGGUCUUCAGACGGGCGGCGUUCUCUAAUCGUUUCUUUUGGUCAAAUUCCUGAGAAGUGCUGUUCAAAAGGUCGUAAUACCUGAGUUCAGAAACCGCUUACAAUUGAGAAAAUGCCGCCUCUUGAAAUGGAUAUAGAAGUGGAAACCGAAGAGGUUUUAAGGAUGGACCAUCAUAUGGUACAGGAGCUUACAGACCUAUGCUCGAAGAUAAAGAGGCUACUGUCAGAGCACUUGGAAAAGUAUAAGAGAAUUGAAAGAGAACGGAAACAUGCAAACCCUGUCGGCCAGAAAAACGAAUUACAGAAAUAAAUGAAAAACAAAAGAAACUAAGCAUGAGGAAAAAAAGGGAAAAGAUAGAAGAGACAACUAGAGAAUCUGUCCAAGAGAUGCAAUCUACGCAUAAUAAGACUACCUGAAAUAGAUGACAAAGCAAUUGAAGCAGAGACAAAAUUUAGGAACCGAUAGUAGAAAAUUUUCCAGAUUUGAGGGACUAACUAGAUCGGCAAAUAGAAAAAAGCUCAUAGGCUACCAGAACUUAACGAAAAGAAAGCAACACUUAGACAUACCCUAGUGACGUUAAACUGGAAGAUAAAGAAAAAAUUCUACGAGUAUUUAGAGAAAGCACGUUACUCAUAAAGGGUUAAAAGACUGACCCGAAAUUUCUUUUGCAGCUCCGAAUGCCAAAAAGACAAGCAAUGUCUACAGAGGUUUAAGGGAAAAUAAUUUUGAGCCAAGAAUUCUGUAUCCUGCUCAAGUUAUUUCUAUACGAGGGCAACUGGAAGACAUUCACAGAUACUCAGGAGUUAAAGUAUAUUACCCAAAUGCUGCCCUUGAAAAAUUUGUUAAAUGAUGUUACUGCAACCCAUAAAAACCAUAAGUUAAAACAAUUCAAGAGUAGUGAAGCAAUUGUAUGAAAAAAAUAGGGUAAAAAAAAAAAAAGUGGGUAAGCAUUAAAGCUAGUUAAACAGCCUUAAGAUUAACUUGUUAGAUGUGGGGUUAUAAGACUAAGUGCAAAAAAUAGAUUUGGAAGUUCAAUGUAAAAUUUCACUUUCUCUCAUUUUAAACUGCAAAGGUGUGGUAAAUGUUUAAUUUAGAAAGCAAGUAAGAGCUGUUAUUUUUAGUAUGCAUUGUAGACAAAGAUAUGCAAGUUCUUCAGCUAAACAUAAGUAAAAUAAAAGGGCUUUGUCAGUGUGGUCAGGACACAGUAAAGGUAUUCCAAGUGUUAAUCUGACAAAAUGGAAAAUCGGUACAGUUUUGUGUCCUCUAUUUUUAAUUAUAGACGGGAAAAAAGUAGCAAUUUUAUCUGUAAUGUGAAUACUGUGUAAAAAGAAAAUUUCUAAAUCCUUGGUUGGGGAGGUGGUAGAUGAAAACUUUGUUUUGUGUACAUCUUGUCCAGAGAAAAGCAGUAGUUCCUGCUUCAGGUAGUAGUUCAUUAUAAGUAAAUUUGACACUGAGAUAAGGUUAUGGGUAAAUUAGAAUAUACCAGCUUUAUGGAUUGGAGAGGAAGUGUGAAAAACAGCAAGGAAACAAAGUCCUAGAAAUUGAAGUAGGAGCAACGUUCUUAUCAGAAUUUAAGCUAUAACAAAGUGUAAAGCUGUAGGAUGUAAUAUUUAAGCUUUAUGUGGUAAAUAAUGUGGCAUUCAUAUGUAAGAUGUUCAGUAUCUGAGUGGUAGUUUUACUGAUGUAUACAUAAGUCAUUUUAAAUGUAGACUUAAAAUUGUUGUGUUUGAUGUAUUUAAUAAAGUAAUUCUUAACAUA